Molecule: ribosomal RNA, 253 nt
Filed under: uncultured bacterium
Lineage: Bacteria
Description: partial 16S ribosomal RNA
Rfam family: Bacterial small subunit ribosomal RNA
Source: RNAcentral
UACGUAGGGUGCAAGCGUUACUCGGAAUUACUGGGCGUAAAGCGUGCGCAGGCGGUUAUGCAAGACAGAUGUGAAAUCCCCGGGCUCAACCUGGGAACUGCAUUUGUGACUGUAUAGCUAGAGUACGGUAGAGGGGGAUGGAAUUCCGCGUGUAGCAGUGAAAUGCGUAGAGAUGCGGAGGAACACCGAUGGCGAAGGCAGCCCCCUGGGCCAACACUGACGCUCAGGCACGAAAGCGUGGGGAGCAAACAGG